Molecule: long non-coding RNA, 829 nt
Filed under: Manihot esculenta (cassava)
Lineage: Eukaryota; Viridiplantae; Streptophyta; Magnoliopsida; Malpighiales; Euphorbiaceae
Description: long non-coding RNA (MESC_LNC001973)
Source: RNAcentral
AAACAUCGUAUAAACUCAUUUUUAACGCUAAUGCUUUAUGUAUAAAGCAACCAGCAGAUUACGAAAAAUUAAAUUGCUCCUAAAAUAGGGUUUCCAAGACUGAUAAUUUUAUUAUAAGCGCUAAGAGGUUCAAUAUAGAAACAUUCCAGAAAAGCACAAUCAACCAGUAAUGAGAAAACUCAAGUAUUGAAACUUCAUGUAGAACAAAGCUAUUGUGGCAGUUCAUUUGAUCGAUAAACUAACAUAUUUCCCCAAAAUCUUCUCCUCAAACAAGCACUUUACCACAGCGAAUAAACAAACAAUCAACCAAGCUUUCUUGCUUCAGUGGCUCAAAAUGCACAGGAACAGCUCUUUCAGUUGCUAAAUCAAGUGGAAGAAGGAAGAUAAUUGAAAGAAGAGAGCAAAUGAGAAACUAAAUCAAUGGUGGAUAGAAGUUUUCAUUUCUCCUGAAACUAAACAUAGUGAACCCCAAAUCAAAGAUGGAGAAAACACAAGUGACUAAAAGAAAAGAAGAGGGCACAAGAGACACUUACAGAUGGGAAACAGGUGUGUGGGCUUCAUCCUCGUGGCUGUCAGAGAAACUUACAAAAAAAAUAUUUGUAAAAAGUAUUUUUCAGGUAACUUAUUUUCCGCCUACAAGUGGAGGACUAAUGGUGAAUUACUUUUCACUGUUAUUUAAUUUUACCUACUAAACACAAAAGAAGUAACUGGAUUGAAAAACUGAAGGGUAGGUAUGUGAUUUCACUCGCAAGUGAAAUGCACUUUCCACCACUGAUUUUCAUUUCCCACUUCCCAAAUAGAAGAAAGAAAGUAAAUUCUCUAUUUCUCC